GCCAUGUCUUCCCAGCAGCAUCAGCAGCAGCAGUGCCUGCCCCAGCAGAUCCAACAGCAGCAGGUGAAGCAGCCCUGUCAGCCGCCCCCUGUCAAAUGUCAAGAGAUGUGUGCACCUAAAACCAAGGAUCCAUGUGCUCCGCAGGCCAAGAAGCAAUGUCCACCCAAGGGCACAGCCAUCCCAGCCCAGCAGAAGUGUCCUGCAACCCAGCAAGCCCCCAAGAGUAAAUAGAAG
RNAcentral lists this long non-coding RNA (234 nucleotides) under Bos taurus (domestic cattle). RNAcentral describes it as "long non-coding RNA NONBTAT017965". The record is from RNAcentral. Lineage: Eukaryota; Metazoa; Chordata; Mammalia; Artiodactyla; Bovidae.